AAAAUUAUUCUUAGUUUAUUUCUCUGGGAAAGAGCCAAAAGAAGACAGAAUAAUUGUACUCAUAUACAUCCUUACACUCUUUUAUACAUUCUGGGGGCGGAAAAAUCAGAUCAGCAUGAGUCAAAAUUGGCAAUAAACCCAUUAUAAAGAAGAGAGUGGCACUAAAGUGAAAUUUCAGAGUAUACUGCUUUCUAUAUACCUAACUGUGAUCUUACUUAAAAACAAGUAUUUACAAAGUUUCUAGAAAACUAGAACCAACUUGAUAACUAGGGUUUCAAUCUUUAUUUUGUCUCCAUAAUAUUCAGCUGUCAGCAGUUUCAGCUACACAUUUAAACAUCUAAUGUGAUUUUAUGUCCUACUUACACUACUCGGUAUCAAGUAAAUACUGUUCUAAACAAAUAAUCAAGUAGCACUUGACACUGGCAAACAAUGAACUUUCUUUCCAACCACAGGAGCUUCUAUUGUAGGAGCUGCAGCAUAGAACCUUAUGACAAACAAAGGCUACAUGAAUAAGACUGUGAGAGUAUGGUACUGGAUAAAGAAGGACAAGGGAAUUCAGGCCAAUAAACUUUAAAAGUCAAUGAGUAAAUUAUAUCGGAAAAUCAA
This 606-nucleotide long non-coding RNA is filed under the name Bos taurus (domestic cattle). RNAcentral describes it as "long non-coding RNA NONBTAT019792". Lineage: Eukaryota; Metazoa; Chordata; Mammalia; Artiodactyla; Bovidae. The record is from RNAcentral.